ACAAUUUUGUUUAAUUCGGUAUUUAUAGCUUCUCGCUCCCUUCCUCGCUUCUCCGGCGACCUCUCCUCCCCUCCGCUUGCGAUCGCAGGAUCCCGAUAGGACGGCCAGACGAUGGCCGACGGAGUUCGCUAGUGCCGUCGAGGACGUCCUCAAGCUGGCAAAGCGGAUAUACGCCGGGAUGGACUGGCACUUCGCGCCGCCCCGGCCAGUUGGCGGGAUGGAGCGAUCGCCGUCGUCCCUCCUACAAAUGGCGCCGAUGGUGGACGCCGCCGUCGACGACCAGGGAUCGUCGACAUACGGCUACCAGCACCACGUGUACGGCCGCCGCGACCCGCCGGCGCUGAUCCCGCUCCGUGGAGGCGGACUGCUUCUUGGACGCGGCCUUCGUUGUCAUCCGCGGUCGGUGGCGCGCCCACUGCGUCAUGCGGAGACGGAGCUGCGACUGCCGCCUCGUCGUCCCCGUGGGUGAGCAGGCGCGGACUUCUCUUGUGGAAAUGUGCUUCUUUUCUUGAUUUUUUUUCUUCUUAUAAUUUCUUGCUAAUUUCUGUUGAUCUAAAUGUUUCCUUAGAAAAGUUGGAAUCUUGAGGAGUUUUUAUGUUGAAAGAUGCCAACUUGGAGGUGUCGAGUUUGAAGUAGAUAGAAAAUUGUACUCCACUCACAUGAUCGAUGGAGAAGAAAAUCAGAACAUGGAAAAGCCUGCAAGAAAUGGAGGCGGCUUUCUGAAACCGCAGCUGUUUUCCUUGAUGAGCUCCGAGGUGACUUAGGGUUAGUGGAGGAUCUGACAUCUGUCUUGCAGUCAGAUGGUCUCAGAAGUUACUGUAUAAAGAUGGCCAGUUCUCUAUUACCAUACCUUUUAAUUUUCCAGAAUAUGUAACUCCAUUUGCAAAAACAUUUUCAAAAGGGGAAAAAAUUCAGUUGAAUGUUAAUAAUGGUUCUGGAAAGGAAGUUUUGUUGCAGACUACGAGCCAUGCUUUGAAGGUGAACAUAUCUGUACUAUAUUUGUAAAUACCUACCCUGAAGUCUGAUUUAGCUGCAAGUCAAAGCUAAACCAUUUUACUGACUGGCACUGCUUCUUGUCAUUUCGGGAAAGAAGUCACCAAGCUGGAAAAUUUACUUUCUUGUACGAAGCAGUUCUUGCGCAUUGUUCUUGUAAAGAUUUUUCAUAUAGAGUAAGUACCAAAUACCAACUUUGUUGAGAGUUUCUAAAUCUAUUUUUGAUGAAUUUAAUAUAAAUUCGAAGUUGUGCUGUGUCUGAAUCCAUCAUUGCAUGCACAAAAAUCUGAUGAUAUUAGUUAUAUAUGAUUGCACACCAAAACAAGAUAAGCAUAAUCUGAGAUGUAAUUAGUUUCUUUAUACUUUUUCUAUAAAUUUCAUGUAUUCUGCAGAUCCUCAUUUUACCUUUCGAAACUCAUGGUGCAAGAUUUGGGACUGAUACUUUAGCUUUGGAGCAUAAAGCCAAACAUCUACACUUACAUGAACCUACACUCAAUCAGAAAGCACCACAGUAAAAGUCCAGGUAUAGGUAUAUGCAUGCCAUGUGCAUAUUCAUAUAGAAUGUAGGAAUGCAUGAGAAGAUAAAUGUGUUAAACAUGUAUCUCUAGGAUUGUGCACAUAAUUGGUAGGCUGGGAUAUUAUCUUUAAUCUCCCUUUCUAGUUUCUACACUUUAAGAUUGAUCUUACUACUAGAAUAUCAUAUUCAUGUAUUUGAUGAUGAGGAAAGUUGUGUGGCAACUUUAGAGUAAAUUAGAUGCAGAGGAGUUAAUGUUCUCGAAAGUUGAGCAAUGACCUUGACUUAGUGGUCACAAGGAAUUACUGCAUUAAGGUUUGAGCCAUGAAGUUACAUUUUAUUUGUCAAAGACAGAUCCACAGACAAGCUGGCAUGAUAUAAAAACAAGCUGCACCAAGUUAAGUCAAUUGCAAUAGAUUUGACAAACAAGUUCAUAGAUGAAAUUGAUUGGAAGAUCUUGACUUUAUCUGAAACAAAUUGAUUUAUUGUUGGUAAGUUGGUGCUUCAGAAUCAAUAUUUUAAACCUUGAAUUGCAGAAGUGCCAUGCACCAUUGAAUUUAGAAAUGUGUGUACAUAUUGAAAAUAGUUUCAAGUUAUAGCAUUGAACUUAGGUAAAAAUUAGUAAAGCUAGAGAAGUUACCAAUGAAGUAGAAAUAACAAUGUAACUCUAUUAUUAAAAAGGGAGAUGAACAAUUUUAAAAAUUGUGGAAAGUUUUGUUUGACUUAAUAAAAGAGGGAAGAUCUAAGCACUUAGUCAUCGUAUGCUCCAUAUAGUGCCACUUAAAAAUCCUAACUAAAAAGACUUCAAAUUCAAACUCUAUAUAAUAAUUAUUUCUGUUUGCUCCAUCUUGUGAUCUCUUAUGCUGCACUAAUUUAAGAUUAACUCUUUAUAAUAAGCUAUUAAAUCAACAAAUUGUUUGGGUUUCCAAAUUAAUGAACAGAUAAAAUUGUUAAUUUAUCGCUUGUAAAGAAAAAUUACACUAAUAACUGAACUAAAGAAGAUGGAUCUUCGAACUGAAGUUCAACUUUUGCCAUCAGCUUUCAUUAUUCACUCUAGGUUUUUGGUUCUGAACUUCAGCUUUUUUCUCACUUGAAAAGUUUUUUACAGAUUUAUUAAAAUGAUUUGUUUGGUGCAUACUCCUAGUGUCCUACAGUCUCCAACAAUGUAUGACUAUGAUCAGAGAGAGAUGUUCUGCUUCUAUCUUUUUCCUGGAAAUAACCAGAACAGAAAGGUGCAUCAAUGUUUUGGUCUUUCCCUUCACUGCUAUACUCAUUCAUCUCCAGUUCAAACACACAGCUCUUUGUUUUCUCAUUCUUCUUUCCCCAAUGUUUAUGCAUAUAUAUGACUAUAAUACAAAAUGUUUCAUUCAUGAGUCAAAGGUUGUACAUCUGCAGAGGACAUUGAUGGCUACAUUUGUAAUGAGAGGUAUGGCUUAAUACACACACAUAUUCCUCUCAACUAUGGCUUGAGGUCCAAAGAGUAAUUGUAGUUCUGCUGUUACAUUGAUCUUGUUCACAAUUUCAGUUACAUGGUUCAUGAUCUGAUUGUUACCACACAAACACAAACAAACACAGGGCAACUCCUUUAAAUAUGGCAUGAAGUCCGAAGAGCGGUUGCUAUUUCUGCUGUUACAUUGAUCUUGUUCGCAAUUUUCAGUCACAUGCUUCAUGAUCUGAUUACUAAAUUUGCAUUUUUUGAUAACUUCUGCCAACUCUUCCUCUUAAGGUUCUUGUGGGCAGCUAUGUUAUUUCUUGCAAAAUUUGGAGUUAGUACUAGUUCUGGGUAGCUCUUUCUUUAUUAGUUUACAUCUCAAAGACUAAAGUUAGUUUCAUAACAUAUGGUCAACUUGUUCAUCAAUUACUCCUAGGUUGCCCGCAAGAAAUUUCCACCUUUUGUCCAUAGAUAUGGUCACUGUGUUUCCAUAAAAGAUUCGAAUAACUGUGAAUUAUGAGCAUAGUAUGAAGAAGCCUCUCCAGGAGGCCAAUCGCAUUACUGAGGAAAGCUGUCUUAGAAGAAUUCUGUACUGCAACUUUGCUAGCCAGAAAAUUAAUUGGAAAUAAUAACAAUUUCAAGCAUAUUACUCGGCUGGGAUUGUGACCUGAUUAAUUUUCAAUAAAGACAUAAUUCCUUGAGAGAGAAAAUGUGAUGAGAACAAGUCUAGAUAUUCUGAGACUACUGCUCGGUAUAGAUACACAUUGAGCCAAAAAUGUUCCAACACUCAAUUAUUAAUGGAUAACAAUAUAUCCUAUCAGUGUGAGCUUGUAAAACAUCAAUUUGUGAGCAUUGAAUUGUGACUGGCUUGCUUCAGCAUAUAUUUAUCAGAAUUUUUUAUGCGUGGGAAUGCAAGGCUUUUCAAGGCUUGGUUUUGUCUUAUUUUCUGUUUUGCAUUUUGUAAUGUUGCUAGUAUGUAUAAGAUUCUCAACCAGAAACCAAUAGUAAUACUAUUUAGUGGAAGAUACGGCCAUAUCUUGAUCUUGGAUUCUCAAAGUGACCUGUUGAUUAUUGACUUAAUGAUUACGGUCAACUGUCACUUUCUAUCUCUGAAAAAUGUAGGAAAAUGUUAAAAUAUUAACCAUCUCAUAGACAACCUGAAAAAUCAGGACUAGUGCCCGGUGACUUGUGGGUAAGGUGAAGGGCCACAAAUUCUCUUCAUGCAUAUAGCUUUAUUAGGUUUGUAUGGUGCAUGUAUGCUUGCAUUCACAUGUAUGCUUCCAUAUACUUUCACCAUAAAAAGCCUCCUCGCUUAUUGAAUUCUAUAUUUGUAAUUUCAUGAUAAGAGGCUUAGAAUAGGUCUUAUUCAGUGAGUGCCAUGGUUGUACUCACAUGGCUUAAUUUGUUUUUCUUUAUUUUCCUCCCAACCUUUUUCCUCUCGUAUCUGGAAUAGCCAACAGAUACCAUCUUGAUGAGUUAAACAAAUAUUAUAUGAUAAAGGUCAACUUAUCAUCUCAACAUUGCGAGCAGUUGAUAGUAGCAGCAAACUAGGAAAAAAAAACUCUUGACAUGAUACACAACAUAAUACCCUGAUGAAUUCUAUUGUGUUCCUCUUCCUCAAUCCACUGUAUGUUAGAUUCAACAAGUUGGGCUUUUAAGUAUAUUCAUGUUUCUCCAGAAAGGCCCAUGCCUUCUUUUCUGCCAAUGCUAUGCAAAGAGAAAAUUACUGACUGAUAACAGUAUUUCUACCUUCAUAUCUAUUCUAUAUUUGAAGCAAACUUCCAAGCUGCAUUUGUGGGGCUCUGCUCAGGAGGUUGUCCAUCUCGCUCACAUGUAUCACAUGUGAAAUUAUCCAAUUUAAAAUAAAAAUCUGAUUGCCACUGAAGUACCUGGACUCUGAUGGAUCAUGGAAACUCAUUCUACAGGAAAAGAAACAUGGCUUCCAAAAUCAUACAGGCCCUAAAAGCGACUCAGAAAUUUUGGUUCGUGGCCUGAUCGUUGGAUUUGGAAAUGCAACUGCAACCUCAGAAAAUCUCCCCACAGGGUUUAAUGAGCUGAAGCCACCUGAGACCAACUAUGUCUAAUGAGAAAGCUGUCAGAUGCCGUGACAACUACUGUUGCUUCAUGUAUAUAAUAAAAGCAUGCUCGAAGCUGAACGAUUGGCUUGCGGCACAAAAACACAGUGCUGCACUGCUUUUAUGAUGCCUUGGCUGCUUUAAAAUCUGCUGCCUGCCAUGCUGUGAAGGCUUUGAAUAGUUCAUCUGUGUUAAUUCUCCUCUGUAUAGUUUAUGUAGUCAUUUGUCUCUGUUUUCCCUCAUCACAUGUAAAUAAUGUCCACAAAGAGAUGAUUGUAUACAUUGUUCUGUAACAUACUGCUCCCGCAAGCAAUUUUCUUUUCUGAAAUAUGCUUUAAACAAAUCUUAAUGUAACAAUCAGAUAUAUUGCAUUUAAUGAAUUUUGGUUUCUACU
Molecule: non-coding RNA, 5408 nt
Organism: Phoenix dactylifera (date palm)
Lineage: Eukaryota; Viridiplantae; Streptophyta; Magnoliopsida; Arecales; Arecaceae
Source: RefSeq, a predicted model, not a curated record